AUGUUAGGACUUAAAUAAAGCCCAUGAGAACCGUGGAGAGUCAACCCACAGCCGCUCCGCCGACCUGCUGGAAAUGUGAAGCAGAUACUCUAAAUAUCAGAUA
This is a long non-coding RNA of Sander lucioperca (pikeperch), 103 nucleotides long. RefSeq lists it as uncharacterized. The transcript is spliced from 3 exons. The record is from RefSeq and is a predicted model, not a curated record. NCBI's taxonomy places the organism in Eukaryota, Metazoa, Chordata, Actinopteri, Perciformes, Percidae.